GUGGGGAAUCCUGCACAAUGGGGGCAACCCUGAUGCAGCGACGCCGCGUGAGCGAUGAAGCCCUUCGGGGCGUAAAGCUCUUUCGACCGGAACGAUAAUGACGGUACCGGGAGAAGAAGCUGCGGCUAACUACGUGCCAGCAGCCGCGGUAAUACGUAGGCAGCAAGCGUUGUUCGGAGUUACUGGGCGUAAAGAGUGCGUAGGCGGUUUUCUAAGUUCGGUGUGAAAUCUCCCGGCUUAACUGGGAGGGUGCGCCGAAGACUGGGAAGCUGGAGUGUGGGAAAGGCAGGCGGAAUUCCUGGUGUAGCGGUGAAGUGCGUAGAUAUCAGGAGGAACACCGGCGGUGUAGACGGCUUGCUAGACCAUAACUGACGCUGAGGCACGAAAGCGUGGGUAGCAAACA
Molecule: ribosomal RNA, 403 nt
Filed under: uncultured bacterium
Lineage: Bacteria
Description: bacterial SSU rRNA
Rfam family: Bacterial small subunit ribosomal RNA
Source: RNAcentral